GAUGAACGCUAGCGACAGGCUUAACACAUGCAAGUCGAGGGGCAUCAUGAGGUAGCAAUACCUUGAUGGCGACCGGCGCACGGGUGAGUAACGCGUAUGCAACCUGCCCGAUACCGGGGUAUAGCCCAUGGAAACGUGGAUUAACACCCCAUAGUACUUUUAUCCUGCCUGGGAUGGGAGUUAAAUGUUCAAGGUAUCGGAUGGGCAUGCGUCCUAUUAGUUAGUUGGCGGGGUAACAGCCCACCAAGACGAUGAUAGGUAGGGGUUCUGAGAGGAAGGUCCCCCACAUUGGAACUGAGACACGGUCCAAACUCCUACGGGAGGCAGCAGUGAGGAAUAUUGGUCAAUGGACGAAAGUCUGAACCAGCCAAGUCGCGUGAGGGAAGACUGCCCUAUGGGUUGUAAACCUCUUUUAUAAGGGAAGAAUAAGUUCUACGUGUAGAAUGAUGCCUGUACCUUAUGAAUAAGCAUCGGCUAACUCCGUGCCAGCAGCCGCGGUAA
This 501-nucleotide ribosomal RNA is filed under the name uncultured bacterium. RNAcentral describes it as "partial 16S ribosomal RNA". It matches the Rfam family "Bacterial small subunit ribosomal RNA", at positions 28 to 523 of the family's 1533-position model. The record is from RNAcentral.